CCAAUAGCGUAUAUUAAAGUUGUUGCAGUUAAAAAGCUCGUAGUUGAAUUUCGGGGUCAGUAGAUUGGUCGUGCCACUGGUAUGUACUGGUCUUACUGGCUCCUCCUUCCUGAUGAACCGUAAUGCCAUUAAUUUGGUGUUGCGGGGAGACUGGACUGUUACUUUGAAAAAAUUAGAGUGUUUAAAGCAGGCUAACGCUUGAAUACAUUAGCAUGGAAUAAUGAAAUAGGACGUUCGAUCUUAUUUUGUUGGUUUCUAGGAUUGACGUAAUGAUUAAUAGGGAUAGUUGGGGGCAUUAGUAUUCAAUUGUAAGAGGUGAAAUUCUUGGAUUUAUUGAAGACUAACUACUGCGAAAGCAUUUGCCAAGGAUGUUUUCAUUAAUCAAGAACGAAAGUUAGGGGAUCGAAGACGAUCAGAUACCGUCGUAGUCCUAACCAUAAACUAUGCCGACUAGGGAUCGGAUGAUGUUAAUUUUUUUAAUGACUCAUUCGGCGCCUUACG
Molecule: ribosomal RNA, 501 nt
Filed under: uncultured Glomeromycotina
Lineage: Eukaryota; Fungi; Glomeromycota
Description: partial small subunit ribosomal RNA
Rfam family: Eukaryotic small subunit ribosomal RNA
Source: RNAcentral